Molecule: long non-coding RNA, 4607 nt
Organism: Rhincodon typus (whale shark)
Lineage: Eukaryota; Metazoa; Chordata; Chondrichthyes; Orectolobiformes; Rhincodontidae
Exons: 2
Source: RefSeq, a predicted model, not a curated record
UACUGGUAAAACUGAAAUGGAAGUCGUAAAGUCUUUCAAAGGGUAGGGCCCUCAUUUCCAUAAAUAUAUUGUGUUUCUGCUAAAAUAACCUUUUGUUAAAAUGUCUGCUGAUGCAGCAGGCAAGAGAAUAUCCCAAAGCAAAAUCUGGACACCCAGUGAUCAUUUUUCUCGCACGUAACCAGCCCCUGUACGCUAUCACUUUUCGUACAAUGCAGCAUGUCACGAUCAUUGAUGCAGAUAAACGUGGACAUUUGCAAUCCAUUAUACAGCAAACCUGAUUGUUGGAGUUGUUUGUCACCUUUGCAGAAAUCUGUGUUUCACUGUUUGGUUUUCAAUUGCUACAAGUGCAUUUUGGUUUGACUGUCUCUUUCUCCAGUGUAGGAAAUGUAUUUAACUUAGGCAGCAUUUGUUGUGGUUUUAACAGAAUAGAUCACAGGAAAUUACUGAAAAAUGACUUCAAAAAUUCUGUUUUUAAGACUCUGCUAUUUUGUCUGUGGAUUGUCCAGUUGUUCCAUUUUGAUUGUGACACUUUCUCUGAGUGUUUCAAUGUUGGGUUCUUCUGCACAUUGGAAGGGGGCUGGGUGGGAGCUGGAAUUUUAAGCAACAUUCAAAAUAGUCGUUUGAAGCUGAAUUGCCUCAGACCCUGUGUGAAAAGAAAACAUGUCAGGGUAACCAACUGUCAAAGAAACUGGUUUGACAGAAUCUGCAAGAUGACAAUCCACAUACAUCUCCACCUGCUCACAGCCAUGGGAAACUGUCUUCUGUGAGCUAAAUGCAGAGGGGACUUACAUGGGCACCUGUACCCAUGAUGCAGUUGAAGGCUGGUACAGCCAGUAUUGGAAACUGGCCUCUGUACCAGUGAGGCAUGUUGUACAGGACACUGGGCUUCUUUUAGUCUUGUCCAUAUUUGAUGUUUCCUUUCAUUUUCCUUUUGCCUGUUGUUUCUCCAUCCUCUCCUCUUUCAGCCUUGAAUUAAGGUAUGAAUUGGUGCAAAUGCCUUUUGAACAUUUCUAACAGCUUUCAGGACUUUUAUGACCAACCUUUAAAUGUGCUGGUCCUGUGGCUAGAUCCCUAAUGGUGCUUUCAUAUGAUAAUAUUUAGAACUUUCUUUCUCAAAGGAUCAUCACAAUGACGUUGCCUCACCUAAUGCUUCAUCGACUCGGUCUAUUCCAAUGAUUAUUGUUGGCACAUUUAUCAUUUUCGUUGUGAUUACAGUUUACUGCUACAAGCCAAUCAGAAUAAGCAGCAUAAGAAAUACCAAACCCGAAGCAAUAAACAACUCUUAACAAACCAUGGAUGAGAAGGAGAAAGGAAAAUAUUGAACCAACUCUUGCUGUCUCGAUUUGCCAACAACUUAAGAAUUUCAUUGUGAACGUUCCAAUAUGAUUAUCCGUCGUGCAAACCUUGCAACACCAGCCUAUAAUUCUUCACAUCCUUUGCUGUUAACCGAUAGCAAACUGCAGGCUGGAUGCAAGUAAUUAAAUGCUAUGGAUUCACAGCAAGUAGAGGAGAAAAUCCAUUAGGAUUUUGACACCUAAACACUGAAAAAAUCUGAAACAUUAAUCUUUAGGUUUAUUUCCCAAAUUGUUCAUUUACUCUUGAAAGCUAAUGUCAUGCAUUUUUCUUCCGAGUCUUAGAUUUUCUCAGGAGCUGGUGCUGAAUUUUACUCCCCUCCUGGAACAGACUUGAAUCUGUUCAUCCUUGCCCACUAUUACUACCUAUUUUGAAUUUUCGCGAUGAUGUGACAAAUGAAAUGUUGCCAAUGUUAAAGCUUUUUUAGUUUGAAAUUGUGGCCACAAUAAAAGGUUGUAGUUUCAAGUUUCAUUCUGGAAACUUGAGCACCUGGUCGAGGCUGGCACCUUAGUGAGGAGCUGAUAAAGUGCUGUAGUGGCAGAGGUACUGUCUUUCAGAUGAAGCAUUAAGUCAAGGGCCUAUCCUCCCUCUCAGAUGGAUGUAAAAAGUCCCACGGGUCUCUCCUGAAACAGAGCUGAGGAAGAUCCCACUAGUUUCCCGAUCUGUAUUUAUCCGCGGAGAAUGGAUAACUGGUAAGAAUCUGAUGUUGCUGAAUUUCCACUCCGUUGCUGGAACUGCAAACAGGUGGGAAUUCUGCCUGUCAAUGUUUCAGGUUGUUUCCAGCAUCACAAACCACGGGAGAUGGAGCAUUUUAAUAACAGAAGCAAGCGGCUUUUUUCAUUCUAACCAACACAUUUAGAGAUAUCAACCUGGUAUUACACACCUCUGCAGGUGUGACUUCAACCUGGGCCUCUCGCUCCUGGGGUAGUGACACUACCACUGUGCCACAAGAGGGCCCCUUAAGCCAUUCCCCCCCCAACAAACUCCACCUCUGAGCCAAGCAAUAAUCAAAUGAUAUGUGGUUCAGUCAAAGUGAAAAACUCAAGGCCAGGAGGGCAAGCUGAAAAAUAAAAAUCUUCCAAAGUGAAACGAGAGCCCGCACUGAGUGGAUUUAUACUUUUGUACUUGGGUAUCUGUAAGACCCAUUCCUGAAUCUACUCCUGCCUUGACAAAAGGGAGGGUCUGUUAACAUGAAGAGCGCUGCACUUGUGAGAAUUGCCAGCGAGCCUCUGACAUGGUUACAAACCUGCCACAGUGUACAGGAUAUGGCCCGAAGGUGUUAUCCUCUUCCCUCACUGACAGGAUUUCAGAUUAAACUUAACUCUGGAUAAACAAUCAUUCUAAAUUCCUCUCUCUUGCAGGUUAACCCAAUUUGUUCCCACCCAAUUGUUGUCUUUAUUGGCAGAAAUUUGUAGCUUAAUGCCAUUAUGAAUAAAGGUUUGUCAGUAUUUCAAGCUCAUGGAAAUGUCAAGUUAAUGAAGGUGGUAGGCUCUGAAAUAUGCUCACAGUUGUUUGCUUCCUUUGAAAAUUUAUAUUUUCUUUCUUCAACAGCAGGAUGAUAUGGCCUUCAGGAAAACCUGCAGGAGUUUCCUGGUUCUAAGUAAUUUGAAUAGAAUGAUCCUGGCUUUCCCCUCUCCAGUCCCAUUACUUUCUGUGGCCGGAAUACUUUAUAAACAGCUAAAGAAUUUCCAAAGUUUCUGCUCAUAAAGAGACACGAACAUAACCUUGCAACGAGAUGUGAUAUGUGUGUAUUACUGCAUCAUGAAUGCACUGAGCAAACCUAUAGAAUAUCUUCUUCCUGUUACAUGUUUGCCUCUGAAGCCAGUCUUCCUUUGUUAAAUUGUUUAUCACUGUCAAUGGAUUCUAAUCUCGCUUUAAUCACUGCUCAGCCUGGAGUGUGGGUGAAGAAAGAGGAGAAACUGAAUCAUUCCUCCAUCUUAAUGAUGCACUGCACCCACAUUGUUGGAAAAAUGGUGAGAAGUAGUUCUCAAUAUUGAUCCAGGAAGGCAGACUUCUUCCUGUUCACUGUCUCAGUGUUCUGCUUUCAGGAUGAAUGUCUCUACAGGUCAAACAGUAUUGUUGAAACCCAAAAAGCAAAACUGGUGUGAUUCUGAAAUUGAUAGCUGACAGGCCUCAUGGCUCUCCAUAAUGAGAUCAGGAUAAUGGAAAACAUGUCAUUCAUGGUGCAAACCACUGAAAAACAAAGCUAUCCCUUUCUGUCAAACCUUGCUGAGGUGUUUUACAAAGCGAGUAAUAAAGCACAUGGCUGGAAGGCAGGAAUGUAAAGUUGCGGUGCUCUAUCCUUCUUGUUCUCUAUCUUUAUUUAAGUUGAAUGUGAAGAUUUUGUUUUGCUGUGCUUACUUGGAUAUAGUAUACCAAUAUCUGAAUAGGGAAACAACUGAAUUAGCAAGAUUGAUGUCAGCAGCAGACCACAUACAAGACCAAGAUGGAAAUGGGAGAAAUUUCAUAUUCAAAAGACUUUUGGCGUUCUGUCAUGUGCCAUACAGGAUGGAAUUGACGAUGUUUCACCAUUCAAGUAUGCUGUGAUAUGCUAGUGUUUCCAGCAUUUCUGUUUUUAUUGGAGAUUGUUGGGUGCUGAUCUUGGUGCAUUAACAUUCCUGCAGCUUCAUUGUUUGACUUGUAGAAAUCUGCCGAUUCCCCGAGAGUACACUACACUGGCCUGUAACUGCGACUAUAAGGGUUAAUGCAGCCACUGUCUCUUCAAUACAUUUGAAUUAUUACAAUUGUUAUAAGGUCAAGAUUUAAGUGUUUGCUUAGCUCUUUGCAGUGAGUCAACUAGUAUAGUGUGUUUUACCAGCAGUCUGUAAACUAGUUUUAGUGAGUUUUAGUAAUUUCAGAGUUUUAUUUCAACAGGUUUUGAUGGUAUACACUAUAAUAUGUCAAAUAUCCGUGAGAAGCUUUUCUAUGUAGUAAAAAUAAUUUUGUCUUGAAAAAAGGAUAUCCAAGAAGAAUUGUCAUAACUUAUGAAAUCAUUAGCAAGAUUGUUUAAAGUUUAUUGGAGAAAUUAUGUUUUAUUUUCAUAUUUUAAUCAUCAGAAGACAUAUACUUUGGAAUUAAGUGUGAGAUUUGCUGGAUAUUUAGACUGUGUGAAAUAAUCUGAAUUCCUGAUGUAACACAAAAAUAUACAAAUUAUUCCUGAUUAUCGCAUGCUUGGUGAGAAUUUGCUUGGACAAUAUCCAAGGUACUACUGUGUUCAAUGCUUCAAUUGCCAAUAAUAAAGUAAAAUAGCUGUU